UACGGAGGGGGUUAGCGUUGUNCGGAAUUACUGGGCGUAAAGCGCNCGCAGGCGGUUUGUUAAGCNAGAUGUGAAAGCCCCGGGCUCAACCUGGGAUGGUCAUUUAGNACUGGCAGACUAGAGUCUUGGAGAGGGGAGUGGAAUUCCAGGUGUAGCGGUGAAAUGCGUAGAUAUCUGGAGGAACAUCAGUGGCGAAGGCGACUCCCUGGCCAAAGACUGACGCUCAUGUGCGAAAGUGUGGGUAGCGAACAGG
This 253-nucleotide ribosomal RNA is filed under the name uncultured bacterium. RNAcentral's name for it is "partial 16S ribosomal RNA". It matches the Rfam family "Bacterial small subunit ribosomal RNA", at positions 524 to 776 of the family's 1533-position model. The record is from RNAcentral.